AUUGAACGCUGGCGGCAUGCCUUACACAUGCAAGUCGAACGGCAGCGGGCCUUCGGGUGCCGGCGAGUGGCGAACGGGUGAGUAAUGCAUCGGAACGUGCCAUUGAGUGGGGGAUAACGUAGCGAAAGUUGCGCUAAUACCGCAUAUUCUGUGAACAGGAAAGCAGGGGACCGCAAGGCCUUGCGCUCUUUGAGCGGCCGAUGUCAGAUUAGCUAGUUGGUGAGGUAAAGGCUUACCAAGGCGACGAUCUGUAGCGGGUCUGAGAGGAUGAUCCGCCACACUGGAACUGAGACACGGUCCAGACUCCUACGGGAGGCAGCAGUGGGGAAUUUUGGACAAUGGGGGCAACCCUGAUCCAGCCAUGCCGCGUGAGUGAAGAAGGCCUC
Molecule: ribosomal RNA, 386 nt
Filed under: uncultured bacterium
Lineage: Bacteria
Description: bacterial SSU rRNA
Rfam family: Bacterial small subunit ribosomal RNA
Source: RNAcentral